AGUGAACGCUGGCGGUAGGCCUAACACAUGCAAGUCGAACGGCAGCACAGUAGGAGCUUGCUCUUACGGGUGGCGAGUGGCGGACGGGUGAGGAAUACAUCGGAAUCUACUUUUUCGUGGGGGAUAACGUAGGGAAACUUACGCUAAUACGGCAUACGACCUACGGGUGAAAGCAGGGGAUCUUCGGACCUUGCGCGAUUGAAUGAGCCGAUGUCGGAUUAGCUAGUUGGCGGGGUAAAGGCCCACCAAGGCGACGAUCCGUAGCUGGUCUGAGAGGAUGAUCAGCCACACUGGAACUGAGACACGGUCCAGACUCCUACGGGAGGCAGCAGUGGGGAAUAUUGGACAAUGGGCGCAAGCCUGAUCCAGCCAUACCGCGUGGGUGAAGAAGGCCUUCGGGUUGUAAAGCCCUUUUGUUGGGAAAGAAAAGCAGCAGGUUAAUACCCCGCUGUUCUGACGGUACCCAAAGAAUAAGCACCGGCUAACUUCGUG
RNAcentral lists this ribosomal RNA (492 nucleotides) under uncultured bacterium. Its description in RNAcentral is "partial 16S ribosomal RNA". It matches the Rfam family "Bacterial small subunit ribosomal RNA", at positions 29 to 507 of the family's 1533-position model. The record is from RNAcentral.